RNAcentral lists this ribosomal RNA (386 nucleotides) under uncultured bacterium. RNAcentral's name for it is "bacterial SSU rRNA". It matches the Rfam family "Bacterial small subunit ribosomal RNA", at positions 30 to 419 of the family's 1533-position model. The record is from RNAcentral.
AUUGAACGCUGGCGGCAUGCUUUACACAUGCAAGUCGAACGGGGUGAAGGGGUAACUCUUCAUUCAGUGGCGAACGGGUGAGUAAUGCAUCGGAACGUACCUCGUAGUGGGGGAUAACUCGGCGAAAGCCGUGCUAAUACCGCAUAUGCUCUACGGAGGAAAGCAGGGGACCGCAAGGCCUUGUGCUAUGGGAGCGGCCGAUGUCCGAUUAGCUAGUUGGUGGGGAAUGGCCUACCAAGGCGACGAUCGGUAGCUGGUCUGAGAGGAUGAUCAGCCACACUGGGACUGAGACACGGCCCAGACUCCUACGGGAGGCAGCAGUGGGGAAUUCUGGACAAUGGGGGCAACCCUGAUCCAGCCAUUCCGCGUGAGUGAAGAAGGCCUGG